RNAcentral lists this small nucleolar RNA (107 nucleotides) under Theobroma cacao (cacao). RNAcentral describes it as "Plant small nucleolar RNA R71". It matches the Rfam family "Plant small nucleolar RNA R71". Rfam says of the family: R71 is a member of the C/D box family of snoRNAs containing the C (UGAUGA) and D (CUGA) box motifs. Multiple nearly identical copies of this snoRNA have been identified in Arabidopsis, and it is thought to function as a 2'-O-ribose methylation guide for 18S ribosomal RNA. Lineage: Eukaryota; Viridiplantae; Streptophyta; Magnoliopsida; Malvales; Malvaceae. The record is from Rfam by way of RNAcentral.
AACCCAUGAUGAGGACAUCAUCUAAGUAAGUUCUCGUAUCUCUCCCAAGCCUCAUAUAGUGACUCUGAAUCUAGUUGCAUGAAUAGUGUGAUGUCAUUCCUCAUCUU